Molecule: ribosomal RNA, 450 nt
Filed under: uncultured bacterium
Lineage: Bacteria
Description: bacterial SSU rRNA
Rfam family: Bacterial small subunit ribosomal RNA
Source: RNAcentral
GUGGGGAAUAUUGGACAAUGGGCGAAAGCCUGAUCCAGCCAUGCCGCGUGUGUGAAGAAGGUCUUCGGAUUGUAAAGCACUUUAAGUUGGGAGGAAGGGCAGUAAGUUAAUACCUUGCUGUUUUGACGUUACCAACAGAAUAAGCACCGGCUAACUUCGUGCCAGCAGCCGCGGUAAUACGAAGGGUGCAAGCGUUAAUCGGAAUUACUGGGCGUAAAGCGCGCGUAGGUGGUUCAGCAAGUUGGAGGUGAAAUCCCCGGGCUCAACCUGGGAACUGCCUGCAAAACUACUGAGCUAGAGUACGGUAGAGGGUAGUGGAAUUUCCUGUGUAGCGGUGAAAUGCGUAGAUAUAGGAAGGAACACCAGUGGCGAAGGCGACUACCUGGACUGAUACUGACACUGAGGUGCGAAAGCGUGGGGAGCAAACAGGAUUAGAUACCCGGGUAGUCC